Molecule: transfer RNA, 57 nt
Filed under: Odocoileus virginianus texanus
Lineage: Eukaryota; Metazoa; Chordata; Mammalia; Artiodactyla; Cervidae
Also listed under: 9 other names
Rfam family: tRNA
About the family: Transfer RNA (tRNA) molecules are approximately 80 nucleotides in length. Their secondary structure includes four short double-helical elements and three loops (D, anti-codon, and T loops).
Source: Rfam by way of RNAcentral
UGGCUCAGAUGGUAAAGCAUCUGCCUACAAUGCAGGAGACCCGGGUUCAAUCCCUGG